RNAcentral lists this ribosomal RNA (249 nucleotides) under uncultured prokaryote. RNAcentral's name for it is "partial 16S ribosomal RNA". It matches the Rfam family "Bacterial small subunit ribosomal RNA", at positions 524 to 772 of the family's 1533-position model. The record is from RNAcentral.
UACGGAGGAUGCAAGCGUUAUCCGGAUUCAUUGGGUUUAAAGGGUGCGUAGGCGGACUAUUAAGUCAGUGGUGAAAGCCUGCAGCUUAACUGCAGAACUGCCAUUGAUACUGAUAGUCUUGAGUUUGGUUAAGGUAGGCGGAAUGUGUAAUGUAGCGGUGAAAUGCUUAGAUAUUACACAGAGCACCAAUUGCGUAGGCAGCUUACUGAGCCGACACUGACGCUGAGGCACGAAAGCGUGGGGAUCGAA